UACGUAGGGUGCAAGCGUUGUCCGGAAUUAUUGGGCGUAAAGAGCUCGUAGGCGGUCUGUCGCGUCUGCUGUGAAAACUCGGGGCUUAACCCCGGGCCUGCAGUGGGUACGGGCAGACUAGAGUGCGGUAGGGGAGACUGGAAUUCCUGGUGUAGCGGUGAAAUGCGCAGAUAUCAGGAGGAACACCGGUGGCGAAGGCGGGUCUCUGGGCCAUAACUGACGCUGAGGAGCGAAAGCGUGGGGAGCGAACAGG
Molecule: ribosomal RNA, 253 nt
Filed under: uncultured bacterium
Lineage: Bacteria
Description: partial 16S ribosomal RNA
Rfam family: Bacterial small subunit ribosomal RNA
Source: RNAcentral